GUCGCUGCCCGGAACUGAGCCGUUUCGAGAAGCCUGGGGACUGCAGAUCUGGGACCUUCACGGGUCUUUGAUCAGUGGAAACCAAGUUAAUCGCAGCGGCUUGAACCGGGCAA
This 113-nucleotide ribosomal RNA is filed under the name uncultured eukaryote. Its description in RNAcentral is "partial small subunit ribosomal RNA". The record is from RNAcentral.